UGGCUCAGUUGGUAGAGCAUGGUGUUUGCAACGCCAGGGUUGUGUGUUCAAUUCCCAU
This 58-nucleotide transfer RNA is filed under the name Salmo salar (Atlantic salmon). It matches the Rfam family "tRNA", at positions 8 to 63 of the family's 71-position model. From Rfam's summary of the family: Transfer RNA (tRNA) molecules are approximately 80 nucleotides in length. Lineage: Eukaryota; Metazoa; Chordata; Actinopteri; Salmoniformes; Salmonidae. The record is from Rfam by way of RNAcentral.